Molecule: ribosomal RNA, 585 nt
Filed under: Lycaena virgaureae (scarce copper)
Lineage: Eukaryota; Metazoa; Arthropoda; Insecta; Lepidoptera; Lycaenidae
Description: partial large subunit ribosomal RNA
Rfam family: Bacterial large subunit ribosomal RNA
Source: RNAcentral
ACAUGUCUUUUUGGUUAAAUAAUUUAAAGUCAAAUCUGCCCACUGAUNAAAUUAUUAAAGGGCUGCAGUAUAUUGACUGUACAAAGGUAGCAUAAUCAUUAGUCUUUUAAUUGAAGACUUGUAUGAAGGAUUUGAUGAAAUAUAAACUGUCUCUAAUAUACUUAUAAAAUUUAAUUUUUUAGUUAAAAAGCUAAAAUUUGUUUAAAAGACGAGAAGACCCUAUAGAGUUUUAUAAUUAUUUAUUAAUUAUUUAUUUAUAAAUAUAAAGAAAAAUUAAUAAAUAAUUAUUUUAUUGGGGUGAUAGAAAAAUUAAAUGAACUUUUUUUUNUAUUUUAACAAAUAUAAUUGAAUAAUUGAUCCAUAAAUUAUGAUUAAAAGAAAAAAUUACCUUAGGGAUAACAGCGUAAUUUUUUUUUUUAGUACAAAUAAAAAAAAAAGUUUGCGACCUCGAUGUUGGAUUAAGAUAAAAUUUAAAUGCAAAAGUUUAAAAUUUUGAUCUGUUCGAUCAUUAAAAUCUUACAUGAUCUGAGUUCAAACCGGUGUAAGCCAGGUUGGUUUCUAUCUUUAAAAAAUUAUAAUAUUUUA